This 253-nucleotide ribosomal RNA is filed under the name uncultured bacterium. RNAcentral describes it as "partial 16S ribosomal RNA". It matches the Rfam family "Bacterial small subunit ribosomal RNA", at positions 524 to 776 of the family's 1533-position model. The record is from RNAcentral.
UACGUAGGGCGCAAGCGUUGUCCGGAAUUAUUGGGCGUAAAGAGCUCGUAGGCGGUUUGUCGCGUCGGCUGUGAAAACCCGAGGCUUAACCUCGGGCCUGCAGUCGAUACGGGCAGACUAGAGUUCGGUAGGGGAGACUGGAAUUCCUGGUGUAGCGGUGAAAUGCGCAGAUAUCAGGAGGAACACCGGUGGCGAAGGCGGGUCUCUGGGCCGAUACUGACGCUGAGGAGCGAAAGCGUGGGGAGCGAACAGG